Molecule: non-coding RNA, 11917 nt
Organism: Rattus norvegicus (Norway rat)
Lineage: Eukaryota; Metazoa; Chordata; Mammalia; Rodentia; Muridae
Source: RefSeq, a predicted model, not a curated record
GGGUGGUUCAGAGGGGAAACUGGGAAGAGGGAUAACAUUUGAAAUGUAAAUAAACAAAAUUACCAAAAAAAAUUAAAGUAAUGAUUCCCACCCAAUCUAAACAAUAAAGACAAAGUUCAGGAAUAAAUCACGAUCUCUUUGGGGAAUAAACCUGUCCCUUCUACCCCCCAAAAAAGAAAGAAGAAAGUUAAAAUACUAUUACAUUUAUUCUUUGGGAUUUGGGUCUGAGUGGACAAGAGAAGGAUCUGGGAACAGAUGUGGAAGGGGAAGAGAAUCAGAAUAUAUUGUAUGGAAAAAAGUCUAUGUUCAAUAAAAAGUAGAAAAAAAAUUUUCUUUUUAAAGAAUGAGGUUACUUCUAGGCGUGGUGGCGCUCAGGAGGCAGAGGCAGGCAGAUCUCUGAGUUUGAGGCCAACCUGGUCUACAGAUCAAUUUCCAGGAUAGGCAGGGUUAAAAAAGAAAGGAAAAGAAAGAAAAGAAAACAAAGCCAGCAAGGACUGCUGAAACUGUGUUGUCCACUUGGACCUCACAUCACCUUUGGUUAGGCAGGGCUUCUCAGUACACACCGCACUCUCCCAACCUAGCUAUUUUUCAGAUACAUCCAACAAUGCUUUUUUAUCUGCUUCCUGGGCCCUAUCCCAGACCUACCAAAUCAGACUGCUGGGCAUGAGGCUUAGGUAUCGAAGCCUUGUGAAGCUCUGGGACGUGUGUGGUGUCAGCUAUCCAUGCAGCUUGUGAGAAUUCCCACUCUACCCGCCCUUUAUGGUUUUGCUAUCCCACAGCAAUGUUUUGCUGAGAUCCUGCUUGUUUCUUGUUGUGGCUAAAGAUAGUAGCAGGAAAAUCACAAAAGGGAAGUGUUCUCUGCGGGAUAAAGCAAGUUACUUCUCUUUCCUACUUACAUGUAUUUUUAUAUGCGUGCUUCUUCACCUUCCUGCCAUUGAGGCAUUCCACCCACUGGCCUAGUGAUAUUUAUUAAAAAAGUUUCAAACUCUUAGAUUUUUUAUUGGGUAAGCAAAAUUUGGAUUACAUAUGUCUUAAUAUAAGUUUAAAAGGGCAGAAUGGCUAGGAAAAGCUAAUUCAUUUCUGUAUUCGCUUAUAUACAUUUUUUGUGCAAGAACACAUAGUGAAUGCUAAUUAUAUAUUGCUUUAUAUGCCUUUGUGUUGUAGUUGUUGUUGUGAGAACACCUAAAAUCAACUCUCAAAGAUUUUGUAGUAUAGAGUAUAUUGUUUACUUUCACUGUAGUGUACAAGAGAUCUCUCAUUUAUUUUCCCUAAGUAAAAACAUGUCCAUUGGCCAACAUUCUCUUCUUUAAGUCUAGAACCCUUCUAAGGAGGGGGUAUACUGACUUAUGGGGAUUGCUGAUGUCAACAGACUGCUGUCUGAUUCAGAUGGUAUUGCCAUGGUCCACUUGAAGGCUGGGAUGGAAAUACAUAAGCAUCUGUGAAGUAUCUUUCUUUCAACUUCAACAUGAGUACAGAGAGCCCAUGAUUGACCUGUUGAUGUGAGGCCAGGUUUUCUGCUGGUGAGGUCUAUAGUAUCUUGUUUUCAUAAGCAAUGUCUGAGACACACCCUUCACAUUUUCUAUUCAAAAUGUCUUUGAAAUAGGGCAUGAUUAAAGAGCCUGAGAGGCAAUCUAAGUAUAGUAAUUCUUAGAGGACUGUAAUUUCCCCCUAGCUUGUCAGAAAUUGCUUUUGUGUUGUCUUUUUAAAGCAUUUGAUUCAGGCUUCAUAGAGGUCACUUCAGCCUCUGUCAUUUUAUAAAAGUAUAUAUUAUUUAUUAAAUUAUUAUGAAAUAUUAAUUUAAAUUGUAAAUUAUAAAUUAAUUUAAAGUUUGAUGGUAAUUACCGUGACCACAAAUGAGUUAGUGAAUAAAGUUAUUAGUUAGGCAUAAAACUCAAGAGAAGACUUUAAUCUCAGCAUUCAGACAUCAGAGACAGGCAGAUCGAAGCCAUGAGUUCGAAGCCAGCCUGAUCUACAUGUGAUACUGUUUCAAAAGCAAAACAUCUCCCACACCAAAAAAGCCUCAGCAAGUCUUCUAAAAUUCAGUCUUUUGAGAUCAUUUAGAACAGUGAUUUCUCGACCUUUCUAAUGUUGUGACUUUUUAAUACAGUUCCUCAUGGUAUCGUGACCGCCAACCAUAAAUUAUUUUGUCGAUGCUUCAUAACUAUAAUUUUUUUUACUGUUUAUAAUUCAUGAUGUAAAUAUCUGAUGUGCAGGAUAUCUGAUAUGUGAUCCCCAUAGGGGUUGAAACCUAUAGAUUGAAAACCCCAAAUUUUAGAAGACUCUAGAUGUCAGUCCAAAUGUUUAACACAAAGAAUGGGUAGAAAGCAAAUUAUUUUGACAAAUCAGUCAAAUUAAUUUGACAAGUCACUUUGGAAUGGUUGAUUACAAAAAUGAACUACAGUAAUCAUAACUCCCACCUCUGGAGCACUUACUAUGUAGCACACUACUUUAAUAUAGUCUCACAUUCACCUCACAAAUAUCCUUUGAGGAAUAGUCUAUAAUUAGCUUCAUUUUACAUGUGGUUUCCAGAGGUUAAGUCACUGAAGGUCACAUGACUUUAUCUUUGGAGAUGAAAUUUGAAGGCAAGUCAGUCUGAUUCUAGAAUCCAGGGUCAGCCAUUAGCCUCUAAACCUAACCUUGAGCCAGACUGAGUUUACCUCACCCCUUCCUGCUGAUCUCUGCUGGCCUGAAAUGAUCUAUGGGACUAGGUCAAGGCUGCAGGCCAUGUGAGGCAAGAGUCAUCAUAACUGAUAACUUGUGUGUGUCCUAGGUCCGUGAACAACUCUAUCAGCCUCUUUUGAAUAGGAUGAGGCACCAUGUAAUUAAUAGAGUUAAUGUAAACAAUGGAUAGAGGGGGUGUUGGGGAGAAAACUUUGAUACUCUAAAUACCAGGCUUCUGAGAGAUAAAUAAAUUCUUGCUGUUGUUUCUGAACACUGUGUCCUGGGUUCUAAAGAAGAUAUUUGUCAUGCUGCCUCCUUUGUGGUCUUUUCCUUGGUGUGAUGAAUGUGGUUUCCUGGCACGACCGUUUUACUCCAGCCUUAAGGCAGAAUACUUCUACCUCAAAGAAAAAUAAAUUGGCUUCAAGUGUAGGAAAAAAAAAACGCUGUCAACCUUCUAAUCUUUCCUUUCCAUCUUCUGCACACCCCACCCCCAACUAUGACUAUUUUGGUCUUCAAGAAUCCAUUGUUCAUUUCCAGAAGGGCAUCGGGUAACCCAGAUGUGCACUCUGGGGGCCUUCCAUAUGGCUUGUCACACCCACAUGUGCUAUGUUAUAAAUAAUUACCAUGGAUUAAUUGCCUAGAAUACCGCUGCAGGCUAUCUGUAACUCCAUGGCUUUGCUCCCACAGGAAGGAUUGGUGGUAGCUUUGCCUGGGUGUCAUUGGCAAUAAAGUGUUUUUCUUAGAAGUUCCCCACUGAACCACAAAGAACUGCCAGCAUUUUGCACCCAUUUUCUUGUCUUUCGCCAGUGAAUAAUGGCAUUUAACUUUCUUUGAAGUGUAAUUAUUCAUCAAGAAGCCAUUUUGUUUAUUUGAUGGUUAUAGGUUUUCAGAGAACGUACUUUUAAAAUAGAUCAUGCUUGAAACAUUUUUUUUCUAAUAAUAAUUUUGAUCUGAGCAUAAAAAGCAGGCUGUUUCUAUCUGGCACUGGCAAGAGCCAUUGAAAAUUACCCUGUGAACUUUUUCUGUAUAAGGAUUUGCUUUCAGGGAAGUAAGUGACUUUGUUGGAACCUUAAAUUGACUUAGACUUAGGGUGUCUUUGUCCAUUCAUACGCAAUUAAGGAUUUCUGCCUGCCAGAGACUAAGUAGCUGAUGUAAGUCCAAAGGAAGCAGGAAGACCGACAUUCUCUUCUCUGAGGCUCUUCCUCAGUGUGAGAGAACAUUAAGCAUGCUUUAUCUAAUUGAAAAGAACGAUAACUUUAUGGUUGUGUCACAUUAGUAUGACUGUGAAUGUGAAUGUCACAUCAGUAUGAUUUUGAGUGUCACAUUAGUGUGUCUGUGAGUGUCACAUUAGUAUGAUUGUGAGCAUUACACUAGGGAAUCCUUCUUUUGUCUUUCUGCAGUUUUAUUUGAAGUUAAGUGAAUACCAAGGUGGACGGGAACAUCAACAUGUCUUUACAGAUGGGAAAAUUUAAAUGAUAUAUAGAGGAGAGGAGUGUUAAAACUUGAGUAAUAGCUCACAUUUACCUUGUAAAGUGUGUGUAAAAUUGUGGAGGAGACCAGCGGUCGUCCCUAAGUGUUGUCUCAAGAGCAGAAACAGCACUGCGGUUGUGUCAGAUUGACCGAAGUAUGAGCUUCCCAGACACUUGAUUAAACAGUAUUCUGGCUGCAUCUAUGAGGGUGCUACUGGAUGAAACUGACAUUUGAAAUGGACUGGCUGCAACAGCUUACCCCUCAGUGAGGGUCUCUUCCAAUGCGUAAGAAGACUAGAUGAUGAGCUGAGGCCUGUCUUGCUGCAUGAUGACUUUUGAUUUGGGUCAUUGGUAUUCUCAGGCCUUUAGUCUUGCACGAGAACUUUUUUUUUUUCAGUUUCAUGAAGUUCUUUUUAUAGUUUUACAAGACAAAGACAUAAAUCAAGGCAAGCUUAAAAUACAUUGGUGGGUACAGCAGACGGGAAAGUAUUACAAGAUGGCAGUAGCUAUGCUGUGGGUGCAAGAUAUUAUUUGAUGACAUUGAGAACUUUUGCUGUCUGUGGGAGUUUGAAUGACAGGUGUCCUCAUAGCCUCAGCUACUGGAACACUCGGUCCCUAGUUGGUGGUGCUGUUUAGGGAGGUUUAGGUGUGGCCUUGCUGGAAGAAGAGAUUUUUGUCAUGUCACCGUACUUUCAGCUAGCUUUCUCUGGGCUUCACGUUUCCUUUGAAGGUGUAGUCUCUCAGCUUUCCACUCCUGUUGCUCACUGCUACAGCUUUCCACUGUGCUGGACUCCUUCCUCUGGAGCCAUAAGCCAAAGGAACCCUUUCUUCUCUAAGCUGCUUUUGUCCUGGCCUAGCAGAAGAGGAAUUAUCACUCCUCCUGUGCCCUUAUUCUUUCCUAUUUUUUUUUAGUGUUUAUUAAUUUGCCUGCAUGUAUGUUUGUGCACCAUGUGCAUGCCUAUUGUCUGCACAGGCCAGAAGAGAGUGUUGGAUUCCCUAGGACUGCAGCUGUGGAUCAACGUGAGCUAUGAUGUGGGUGUUGGGGAUUGAAUGUCGGUCCUCUGCAAGAAGAUACUGUGCUCCUAACUGUGAUGCUGUGAUCUCUACAGCCUUUCAUGCUCUCUCUCUCUCUCUCUCUCUCUCUCUCUCUCUCUCUCUCCCCCUCUCUCUCUCACGGGGGGGGGGUGUUGGUUUUUCCAGACAGGGUUUCUCUGCCCUGGAACUCACUCUGUAGGCCAGACUGGCCUCGAUCUCAGAGAUUCACCUGCUUCUGCCUCCCCUAGGGCUGGGAUUAAAGGCAAGGGCCACCACUGCCUGUCUCAAACCUUACGUUCAUGAUGGUUGACCCAAACAGUCUGCCAUUAAAUACUGUGUUAUUUUACUGUUACAUUAAAAGUAUGCCACCCAGAUCAUUGUAAAAAACCUAUCAGUAUCCUUGUCAACAUAGAACAACAAGGUUUUGGAAUUUCGAAGCCUUGCUGUCAUUUCGCAUUUCCUAUGAUGUAUGUUGUUUCCUUAUUCUUCUGAAGAGCUGUUGUUUCUGACAGGUUCCAGGCCCCUAUUUAAGCUUUUCUGAACUUUUCACAUUUUGGUUUUAUAUCUUAUACAAGUAAAAUGUGUGAGCCAGGCGGUUUACUAACAGCUGGCAGAAUGGUGCAAAAGUCAUGCUAAGGGUUGGGGAUUUAGCUCAGUGGUAGAGCGCUUGCCUAGCAAGCGCAAGGCCCUGGGUUCGGUCCCCAGCUCCGAAAAAAAAGUAAAAAAAAAAAAGUCAUGCUAAGACUAACUUGAGAUACCUGCCCAAACUCUCAUAUUAGUUCAAAAUUUAACAGCAGAAUCCCUAUGGUUUUAAAUCUUGAAGUGUUCAGUGUCACCUCCCUCGUUAUCAAUAUUGCCAUUGUUUUCUUCCCAUGUUAAUCAGUUUAAAAGCUGCCAAUGGAGAUUUAUGUUUAAGAGUUAACAAAUAAUGUCUUCAAGUAGCAUUUUCAUGUGUAAAGUUUUCCAAGGGAAGAAAAGCUCAUCUUGGAGCUUCUUUUGUAGGCUUGACCAUAAAGAUACUGGAAUGGUUUAUUUCUUCUCCUGAAAUGGGUGUGGUUGGGACGGGCUACAGGGUUGAUUACAGAUCUUCACUGCAGACCUUCAUCGUACUGAGUUAGGAGGGUGAUUUACAAUGUUGACCAGAGGUCAGACCAUCUGUGACAAAGCUGUGCUUUCAACACCCCAGGAUUAAAGGGGGGAAAACCACAGGAAAAUCAUUAUACCACAAGCAAUGCUUCCUCCAGCUCCUGCCCUCUCUCCUUCCCCAAAAUUCUGUUACAGGCUUUCCCUGUUUUUACAUCUGAUUGGAUGACGAUGGUGAUGACGAUGACCAUGACGAUGAUGAUGAUGACGACAACAAUGACGACUUGGCAUUGCUGUGAAUUGAAUGCAGAGCUGUGUCCAUGCUAGGCUGGCAAGUGCUUUACAGGGUUUCUCUGUGUGGCCCCGGCUGUCCUGGAACUCACUCUGAAGACCAGGCUGGCUUCGAACUCAGAGAUCUGCCUGCCUCUGCCUCCUAAGUGCUGGGAUUAAAGUUGUGCACCACCACCACCCAUACUUUUUCUUUCUAUCUAUAGAAUGAAAAUAAUGCUACCAAAUGAGAUUGUCUUGCAAGUUAAUUGGGUGAUGUAAGAAAAGUGUUUAGAGCACUACUUGCCAGAAAAGAAAUAUCCAAUAAACAUUAGAUAAAGAAGUGUAUAGCCCAGAGGAAGUACAAGGCACAGAUGCAACACAGCACAGGGCAGUUACAACACACCAGAGACUGACAGCCAGGAUCCAUUUCCGUCGGGCAUGCCAUCUGGUCUAAUCAGAUGGAUUGCUGGGUCCCUUUAGAUUGGUUAGUGACUGUGAUAUUUGAUCUAUCAGAUUUUAGUCUAAAUCAGUCCUAAAAUAUUUGUUUGCCCCAGAAUAUAUGAAAUGUCGGCUAAACAUGUGGUCUCCUGGGCACCUAGACCCAGACACCGUGGUUCAGUUAGUAUAGAGUAGUCAAAGAAUGAUUUCAGGCACCUGAAGGUCUCCCUCCAGAGAAGUUGAUUUAGGGGGUCCUGGAGAUGCUCCUGAAGAAGUAACUUUUAAGCCAACAGCUUAAAUUCUAGCACCUUUAAGCAGGAAGUAGGAUGGAACAAGAGAAAAAAAAGUAUGUAUAUGACAGCACGGAUAAAGCCAGGGAAGUGUUAGGGGAAAAAUUCAGAGUGGCUCGCUGGUGUGGAAGACAGGUAACCUGAGUCGGGAGUGGCUCCGGUUCUAAAGGAAGUGUAAGCUGUGCCUUUUCGUUCUACCACUGGGACAAUGAGGGAAUGGCCACUCAGGCACUGAAGGGACAGCACAGUAGGAUUGUACUCAGACAGGUGACAAUGUCUGGUUCUUCAAGGCAUUAGGUCAACUAAGGUAGGUGGGUCCUCUUGAGAAAACAGUUCUUCAGUCCAUCGUCUACUUUUCCUCUUGCCCUUGGUUCCUUUCUGACCCUUCCCCACUGCUUAACCCUUCCUUGAUCUGCACAGGGCCAACCCAUCCAAUCAAGUUCCUGUCCCGUCUUCCUCCAAGGCUGGUGUGGCUUCCCUGUUGUAGCCUAGGACCUUGCCAGUGUAGUGAUAGUCCUCAGCCAGGGUUUCAAGAACCAGGAAGAAGCAAACGCUAUGGCUGAGCAGUGUUAAACAAAGUUGUCUUUACCUGUCUUUAUCUCUCCGUGGCCACAGAAUUGGCUGGAGUGUGGCCAUAGCAUUGUCUAGAAGAGCACAUACUUGCCUGGGAAUGAGUGAUUUGUCUCCAGCAAGAAACUGUUUGUGUUGUGUGAUGUGACUUCUAUCACGACUGUGGAAGGAACUGAGAUGCCCUAACCAUCAUUGUUGGUCAGGGGUCAUUUUUAUUGAUCCAAAGAAUCUUGAUGUCCCUUUUUGUUUCCACUUUCCUUUCAGCGUAUUUUCAAACAGGGAAAGAACAUAGGGCACAGUUUUUGUUCUCUAGUUGCCCAUUCUCAGACAUAUGGUAGCUAGACGAGCUCUCUUGCUGUCCGUCCUUGGUUUAUUUGGAAUGGAACACAUCCUUCUGGUUACAAAGCUCACACCAUAAAGCCAUCCACAGCCACAGUCCUCAGUGAAACUGGGGAGGAGUGAGGCACAGGAGUAGCUACUUUGUCUGCUUUGCUCCUCUGCUCUCCUCUGUGGAUUCUGUACCUCGGGAUCUCAGAGGGCAAGAAAUAAAGAAAGAACGUGCAGUCUCUAGAAUGGUCAUACUUUUCAAGGUCACGUAUAAAACCCUAGGAUUAGUUCCCACAAUAUCGUUUCUUCAAUUGUUAAAAGAAAACUCUGAGGAAGGCUCUUUCUCUCGCCAGCUGACAAUUUGUAAGGACUCAGCUGUGCCCACUGAUAAUCGGGGUUAGGAAGUGCUGGCUAUUGAGCCGGAACUAGAUAUUUAAUUGUUACUGCAAGAAGAAUACAAAUUACUGAUAAGUGCUGAAGAAGUUGAAACAAAGUACCCCUUUUUUCUUUUGUAAGAAUGUGGAUGCUAACUGAAAGUGUCCACAUGGUUUCAAUUAAGCAGAGGAAUGUUAAAUGUAAAGCUAAAUUGAUGAAAAUAACCAAACUUUCUGACAAACCAAUAAAUCGGAGUCUAGAACUCAUUGCCCGUACUGUAUGGCAGCCAGAGAAACGCUGCUAGAUCAUCAAUUUCUACUUAAUUUUUUUUUCAGUCAGUUUAUACUUAAAAAGAAAAAGGAAUGCCAGGGAAGUGAUUUUAGUUCUUCUGAGCUAUAAACACUGCACAUUGCCCAUCACGCGGAGGCCGUAUUCGCUGUGCACACUGGAACUGAUUGUUUAUUCUUUUUGCCAUUUCCUCACUGAAAUUUUUGGAACCGUAAGACAGUUCUCAGGGAGCUCUCAUGCCAGCGUUUUGGCAAAUGAGCUGGUAAAAUGCUAGUUAGUGAACUAAAAGCUUCUUGGCUUCAUUCCAGGGCAGGCAAUCCUUACUCCUUUAUAAUGAUGUUUUAAUCCCCCCCCGAAACUUUUUAUUUCUUCAAGUGACUGUCACAUUGAGACAACCAGCUACCACAAAAAUUAUGAGUUUGGAGAAGAAAAUUCUUAUUUUUCUUGCCAAAAUUAGGGUACAAUUACAUAGUGAGAAACCUAACUCUGCACAUUUCUGCUUAUGUCAGAAAUUUCCAUUUCUAACCCAGAAUCUUAUGCCUGAGGAAGUCUUUUUAUUUUGUGGGAAUUGUCAGAAUUUGAAUGUUUUAAUCCAAGAGAGGGAGCUAAAGCCAUCUGUCAUAUAGGCCUUCCUGUGACAUAUGAGAUGAGCAUCUUCUGCUGAAAGGUCGAUCAGGAACCGGUCCUUCCCAUGCUGGUCCCCAUUGUCCUGUAGAUUCAGAGGUUUCCUCUUUCUAGGGAGGUGGGAUUGCUGUCCCAUGUCCAUGAAGUUUCUCUGAAUGUGCCAGAGAGCUCAUUUCAAAACUGAUCGAUACAUAUAUGCUUCCUUAAACAUACUGGGGAAUAAUCACUUUUAAAGCUCAGGUGACAUACUCAGCACAUCCUCUACCAAUAGCUAUGACUGUUUGCAAAAGUGGUUUUGGGGUACUGCUAUGAAAUUGUCUCCUCCUCUUCCCCCUCUUCCCCCUCCUCCCUCUCCUCCUCCCCUCCUCCUCUCUUUUCCUUCUUUCUCUUCCUCCUCCCCUCCUUGUCCUCCUCCUCCUUUCCUCUUCCUCCUCCCUCUCCUGCUCUUCCUUCUCUUUCCUCCCCCCUUCUUGUCCUCCUCCUCCUCUUCAUCUUCGUUUUGAGUCUGGAUCUCUCUAUGUAGCCCUAACUACCUUAGAACUCACCACGUAGAUAGACCAGGUUCUUCCCCAGCCCUGGGAUUCAAGGUAUGUGCUACUACACCCAUCCCCCUUUGUGCUUCUUAUAUAAGCUUUAGCCCAUUUCUCAUGCCAUUCAAAUUCAACCAGCAUUUCAAAUCAAAGUCAAUUAAUAUAUUAUUAAUUCACUUAGACAAAAUGUCAAUCCUUACUGCCUAUUUAAAUGAUCACCAGAAGGGAGAAUAAAGUCAUUCUCUCUCUCUCUCUCUCUCUCUCUCUCUCUCUCUCUCUCUCUCUCUCUGUGUGUGUGUGUGUGUGUGUGUGUGUGUGUGUGAGUGUGUGUGUUACUACAGAUAAAACUUAGGGUUUAAUGCACACAUUCUGGCAAGCAUUUUAUGUCUGAGUUUCACCCUUGAAACUCCGCAGAAAUAAUCUUUAUUGAGGGCAAAUAACAUAAUUUUUUUCCAAGUUAGUAUUUUCAGCCACUUGUUUUUAGAGGUGUUAAUGUCAUAGAAAUGCUCAAUCAAUAUUGCUGCUGUAGUUAAAUAAGUGGGAGCGCUUGAUUUUAUUACCCACACACUUUUAGAAUCAUUCUAGUUUCAUGCUAUCUACAUAUUCAAACUCUCACAUAUUAUUUCUUAUAAUCAAAGAUAAAUAUUUGAAUAUUUGAAUUCUGUGGUAAGCUACUAUCUUUCUCCAAGAUUAAUUGACUUAUAAAUAUUGAUAUUUACUCAGUCCCUUUGCUUAGCUUUGGUGUGUAAGGAUAAGGAACAUUAUAUAAUUUUAUAUAAUUUUUGUCCUUGAAUUUUUAAAAGAAUUGCUUAUUUUAUUUUAUGUUUAUGAUUGUUUUGCUCAUGCGUAUGUCAUGUGUAUGUCGUGUGUGUCAUGUGUUUCCUAGAAUUAGAGUUAUGGAUGGUUGUGAACCACCAUGUGGGUGCUGGGACCCAGGUCCUCUGCAAGAACAACUAACUGCCCCUAUUAAAUUAUGUCUCCAGUUUGUGACUUUUAGUAGCUCUCAACUGUAAUGACGAUGAUUAUUCUCUGUUGAUAAGUAUGCUUGCAGCAGCCUUAAAUUCAUUUAGUAGGCAAUGCAAUUCCUAGAUUGUAUUUCUCACACUCUGUCUUAGUCAGGGUGACUAUUGCUGUAAAGAAACACAUGACAAAAGCAUUUCGAGGAGAAGGGGUUUAUUCUACAGGUCCACGUCAUUGUUUAUCACUAAUGUAAGUCAAACAGGGUAGGACCUGAAGACAGAGCCUGGUGCAGAGGCUACAGAGGAGUGCUGCUUAUUGGCUUGCUCCUCACGGUUUGCUCGGCCUGCAUUUUAUAGAAUCCAGAACCACCUUCCUGAACAUGACACUACCCACAGUGUUUUGAGCUUUUUCCACAUUAAUCAUUGAUUAAGAAAAUUUAUCUAUAGGCUUAUGGAGGCUUUUUUUUUCAACUGGUUUGUUCUUUAGUGACCUUAACUUGCACCAAGUUGACAUAAAGUAACCAGGACUUGCUCUCAGUUUAUUUAGUACCUACUAUAUGAUAGAUACUGGAUAGGGCUUAGAGAAGUAUUUUGUUCUGUGGUCAUUAUUUUCAUUUAAAAAUUCAUUCCAUGGGGCUGGAGAGAUGGCUCAGCGGUUAAGAGCACCCAACUGCUCUUCCAGAGGUUAUGAGUUCAGUUUCCAGCAACCACAUGGUGGCUCACAACCAUCUAUAAAGAGAUCUGAUGCCCUCUUCUGGUGUAUCUGAAGACAGCUACAGUGUACUUAUAUAUAAUAAAUAAAAAAAGUUUAAAAAAAAUUCAUUCCUUUGAUGUAAUUAAGGUUGACUGUACUUGUUAAUUUGGUAUUUCUGGCUGUAUAUUAAUAGAAAUAGAUGGUAGAGAGCCAAGGUAACUGUUGAGUUCAGGAUGACAAGUGAAGAUUUGUGAUACAUUCUGUAGUCAGACAUCCCUCUAACGUUACCUCCCUUUCUUCUGGU